UUGAAAGAUGUGUUAAAUAGUUGCAUCUUGAAAAGGACCAGAUUAAAAUUCUGGUUUUGAUUUUUCAUUUGCCUGAGAUUAAAUUUGUGAUUUCUCUAAACCUCAGAGAUUCCCUGUAUUUUUAACUCUGGUCUUGGACUUUCAAAUGAGUCAGUUGGAGCACAGCAAUUGCUCCAUGGAGAAAUCUACAAUGAUGUGUUACCAUCUCUUAUACGAGUUGUGAAUGACCCAAGCUGGAUCAUGCACAAGAGAGAUAGGUGCACCUCUCUUGGCAGAUAUUCCUCAUUGAUUAUGGUGACAUUUCCUGCAGAAUCUUGGUGUAGUUUUUACAACCCUGCUCUUCACAGCUCUGUAGGCAACAAGACAGUUGGCAGGAGUCAUUAAAUGAGCUGAAACUGCUUCUCUUACCUGAGUUUAGACUCUAAAGAACAGGAACUCACAGUCAGCUUUAGGACUAGCACCUAUUUUCAAAUAUAGACAUAUGAAUAUUGCUUUGGAGAAAGGCAGAAUAAACAAAGUAGACUACCAUUAUAUCAGGUAAUAAUUAAAAUUGUUGCAUUUGCUCAGAAUUUAUCUUGAUAUAGUUGCAUCUUCUGGAAGAAUCUGGCAUAUUGGCUUCCCUCUGUGGAAGUCAUGAUUUCACAGCCAAUCCACCCAUUAAUAUAUAUGAAAUAAUUAUCAUUUAUGAAAAUAUUGUGUAGGGCUGGGGAUUAGCUCAGUGGCAAAGCAGUGUGUUAGGCCCUGGGUUAAAUUCCCAGUACCAGAAAACAAAACAAAAUACUGUGUCAUAUGGAGCAGACAAUUUUUAUAAGUUAUUAUCCCAAAUUUCUUACUCUAAAUGGAAUAAGAUUUUAGAGGAAGGUGUGGGCAAAGGAAAGUUUCUUGGAGUUGAUAAUAUUGUUUAGACCAUGAAUUUUGAAACAGAGGCAGAGCAUUUGGAAUAUAGCACUCGAGAUGGAGUGAGUUGAUGUGUCUGAAAAAUUUCAACAAAAUCAAUUUUAGAUUUUAUCUUAGUGAAAGAAAGAUUUGACUUUUUCAAUGGAGAAAAAUGCUGUUUUAUAGAAAUACUUUAGAAAAGGUAUAUUUUAGGAUUACUGGCAUUUCAUAAAAUGAAAGAUAACCAUGAUAAAUAAUUUACACCAAAGAUGCUGACUGAAUUGACAAAGUAAUUUAAUGAGUUUCUGUUAGAUGCCAGGCUGUGUGCUAGACCAUUGCACCAGCUUGGUUUUGUAACAAAAAAACAUCUAGAAGCAAAUACAGGUAGUUAAUGAUAUUACAAAUUAGCUUAUGAUACAUGCAAAUGAAGGGGCAGAGAAUCACAAAAAGAAGGUAAGACUUCUAAUCAAGGUAUUUGUCAAGAUUCUGCAAAGGUUCAGAGAUCCAAAAUACUGAGGACCCAGAGAGAAUUCUGAAAUCCAGUACGUUAGCCAUGCCUAUGAAAAUUUAAAACUAAGCUUGUAAAUGCAACCAUAGCCCUUGGAUAAAGCUCAAAGAUAUUAGAAAUCCCUGGAAAUGACAAAUAAUGACUAAGCCUUUAGGAAAAUGUGCUUUAGCUUGAAUAAACUGCAAAAUUGUUUCCCAUAUUGAGUCUUCAGAACAUAGACAAAAAGCCCACUUAAUUUUUGUUUUUAGAUAAAAAUAGUUGAUUUCAGCUGAAUUUGGUUACCUUUUUAAAAAGCUAGUCCUAUAAAGAAUAUAUGCUUACUUGAAUGGGUACAAAAUUUCAGGAAUUAUAUAAUGCUGGAUAUAAGUUGGCUAGUGGAACUUAAAACUUAAUCAAAGUCAAGUAAUGUGGUAAUUUGUUAGUUUGUAGGUGGCAUUGUAUUUCAAAAGAUGCUACCACACACCAUUCAUUUCCCAAUGCUACCAGUUUUUUCCCUCUUUUUUUUCUAUAGAGCCCUAUAAAAUCUUUGAUUUGAGUUUUUCUGAUGGGCAGAAUCAGUAGAAACCCAUUUUUGUGUGUGUGUGUGUGUGUGUGGAGACUGAACUCAGAGGCACUCAAUUACUGAGCCACAUCUCCAGCCCUAUUUUAUAUUUUAUUUAGAGACAGGGUCUCAGUGAAUUGCUUAGCACCUUGCUUUUGCUGAUGCUGGCUCUGAACUGGCGAUCCUCCUACCUCAGACUCUUGAGCUGCUGGGAUUAUAGGUGUGUGCCACUGUACCCAGCUAGAAACUCACUUUUUUUUGGGUGGGAAAUAUAUCCAUGACUGGAUUAAAGUAGCAAAUGA
Molecule: long non-coding RNA, 2227 nt
Filed under: Marmota monax (woodchuck)
Lineage: Eukaryota; Metazoa; Chordata; Mammalia; Rodentia; Sciuridae
Source: RNAcentral